Molecule: ribosomal RNA, 1347 nt
Filed under: uncultured bacterium
Lineage: Bacteria
Description: bacterial SSU rRNA
Rfam family: Bacterial small subunit ribosomal RNA
Source: RNAcentral
UUGAGAGUUUGAUCCUAGCUCAGGAUGAACGCUGGCGGCGUGGAUAAGGCAUGCAAGUCGAGCGAUGCAGGGAAGUUGGAAGUUAGUUGUUGGUAGUUGUAUAGCGGCAGACGAGGUAGUAAUACGUAGGUACGUUCCCAAGAGUCUGGCAUAGCUCAUCGAAAGGUGAGGUAAUUCCAGAUGGUCCCGCAAGGGUAAAGCCAAGUUAUUUAUUUAAUUUGGUCGCUCUUGGAUCGGCCUGCGGCAUAUCAGCUAGUUGGUAGGGUAACGGCCUACCAAGGCGACGACGUGUAGGGGAGCUGAGAGGCUGACCCCCACCGAUGGAACUGAGAUAAAAACGGUCCAUACUCCUACGGGAGGCAGUAGCCGAGAAUAUUCGACAAUGGACGAAAGUCUGAUCGAGCGACGCCGCGUGGUGGAUGAAGUCCUUCGGGACGUAAACACCUUUUAUGGGGGAGGAAUUUCGAUGACUGUACCCCAUGAAUAAGAGGUUGCUAACUCUGGCCAGCAGCAGCGGUAAUACAGAGACCUCAAGCGUUAUCCGGAAUUAUUGGGCGUAAAGGGUGCGUAGGUUUCCCAACAGGUUUCUUGUUAAAUCUCCAGGCUUAACCUGGAACAUGCGAGAAAAACCGGUGGGAUAGAGUAUGUGAGAGGUGCAUGGAACUCAUGGUGUAGGGGUGAAAUCCGUUGAUAUCAUGGGGAACACCAAAGGCGAAAGCAGUGCACUGGCACACUACUGACACUCAAGCACGAAAGCGUGGGGAGCGAACGGGAUUAGAUAAAUCCGCUUACCGCUCGUAAAAAAUCCCCGGUAGUCCACGCCCUAAACGAUCUUCUCUAGCUUUCUGGAGUAUCGACCCUCUGGGAGGCGAAGCUAACGCGUUAAGAGAAGCGCCUGUGAAGUACGGCCGCAAGGCUAAAACAUAAAGGAAUAGACGGGGACUCGCACAAGCAGUGGAUCAUGUGGUUUAAUUCGACUAUAAACGAAGAACCUCACCAGGGUUAGAAAUCCAACCCCAUGCCGAACCAGAAACGGAUCGGCUGCUCACAAGGUAAGGGUUGGACAGGUGAUGCAUGGCUGUCGUCAGUUCGUGGUUUGAAUUGUUCCCUUAAGUGGGGUAACGAACGCAACCCUCAUCGUGUGUUACAAGUGUCACGCGAGACCGUCCCGUUUUACGGGAAGGAAGCGAGGAUGACGCCAAGUCCGCAUGUCCCUCUGAUACCCUGGGCUACACACAUGAUACAAUGGCCGCUACAAACGGGCGCGAAGCCGAAAGGCGGAGCAAAUCCGAAAAAAGCGGCCCCAGUUCGGAUAGAGGUCUGCAACUCGACCUCUUGAAGCCGGAA